This 465-nucleotide ribosomal RNA is filed under the name uncultured bacterium. RNAcentral's name for it is "partial 16S ribosomal RNA". It matches the Rfam family "Bacterial small subunit ribosomal RNA", at positions 28 to 507 of the family's 1533-position model. The record is from RNAcentral.
GACGAACGCUGGCGGCGUGCUUAACACAUGCAAGUCGUACGGUAAGGCCCUUUCGGGGGUACACGAGUGGCGAACGGGUGAGUAACACGUGAGUAACCUGCCCACAACUUUGGGAUAACGCUAGGAAACUGGUGCUAAUACUGGAUAUGUGCUCCUGCUGCAUGGUGGGGGUUGGAAAGCUCCGGCGGUUGUGGAUGGACUCGCGGCCUAUCAGCUUGUUGGUGGGGUAGUGGCCUACCAAGGCGGCGACGGGUAGCCGGCCUGAGAGGGUGACCGGCCACCUUGGGACUGAGAGACGGCCCAGACUCCUACGGGAGGCAGCAGUGGGGAAUAUUGCACAAGGGGCGCAAGCCUGAUGCAGCAACGCCGCGGGCGGGAGGACGGCCUUCGGGUUGUAAACCGCUUUCAGCAGGGACGAAGCUUUUUGUGACGGUACCUGCAGAAGAAGCACCGGCUAACUACGUG